GUGCCAGCGCCCGGUAAUACCGGCAGCCCGAGUGAUGGCCGAUCUUAUUGGGCCUAAAGCGUCCGUAGCUGGCUGCGCAAGUCCGUUGGGAAAUCGACGCGCCUAACGCGUCGGCGUCCAGCGGAAACUGUCCGGCUUGGGGCCGGAAGAUCCGAGGGGUACGUCCGGGGUAGGAGUGAAAUCCCGUAAUCCUGGACGGACCGCCGGUGGCGAAAGCGCCUCGGAAGGACGGACCCGACGGUGAGGGACGAAAGCUGGGGUCUCGAACCGGAUUAGAUACCCCGGUAGUCC
Molecule: ribosomal RNA, 291 nt
Filed under: uncultured bacterium
Lineage: Bacteria
Description: partial 16S ribosomal RNA
Rfam family: Archaeal small subunit ribosomal RNA
Source: RNAcentral